This 208-nucleotide small nuclear RNA is filed under the name Sorex araneus (European shrew). RNAcentral's name for it is "7SK RNA (ENSSARG00000019788.1)". It matches the Rfam family "7SK RNA". Rfam says of the family: 7SK was discovered as an abundant small nuclear RNA in the mid-70s but a possible function has only recently been suggested. Two independent studies have found that 7SK RNA binds the CDK9/cyclin T complex (known as elongation factor P-TEFb). The record is from RNAcentral. Lineage: Eukaryota; Metazoa; Chordata; Mammalia; Eulipotyphla; Soricidae.
ACAUGCAAGGCAAACGCCUUACCCGUGGUGCUAUGGCUCCAGCAUGCUUGAUCAAACAGGGUAGCCUUCCCUAUAUAGAGAAGAACUGGUCUUCAGUCAAGGGUAUAUGAGUAAAUGCGCUCCCCUGCUAGAACCUCCGAACAAGCUCUCUCAAGGAGAAAAAAGAUAAAAAUAAUUUUAUUUUUAUUUAUUUUUGUUUCGGGUCAUU